Molecule: transfer RNA, 90 nt
Filed under: Tequintavirus T5
Lineage: Duplodnaviria; Heunggongvirae; Uroviricota; Caudoviricetes; Demerecviridae
Description: Escherichia virus T5 tRNA-Ser-1
Source: RNAcentral
ACCUCCUUCCAUUACCUCAGCUUGGUAGUGGCAUAGUGAUGUCGCCCGAUCAAAAGUUCUGAUCAACGCAUGGUGAUGCGGGAUGGAAGG